RNAcentral lists this transfer RNA (89 nucleotides) under Tremella mesenterica. It matches the Rfam family "tRNA". From Rfam's summary of the family: Transfer RNA (tRNA) molecules are approximately 80 nucleotides in length. Their secondary structure includes four short double-helical elements and three loops (D, anti-codon, and T loops). Further hydrogen bonds mediate the characteristic L-shaped molecular structure. tRNAs have two regions of fundamental functional importance: the anti-codon, which is responsible for specific mRNA codon recognition, and the 3' end, to which the tRNAs corresponding amino acid is attached (by aminoacyl-tRNA synthetases). tRNAs cope with the degeneracy of the genetic code in two manners: having more than one tRNA (with a specific anti-codon) for a particular amino acid; and 'wobble' base-pairing, i.e. permitting non-standard base-pairing at the 3rd anti-codon position. Lineage: Eukaryota; Fungi; Basidiomycota; Tremellomycetes; Tremellales; Tremellaceae. The record is from Rfam by way of RNAcentral.
GCCCUUGUGGCGCAGUGGUCAAGCGCUUUCCGCUUAUGAUGAAAAUCUGUGUCUCGGAAUGGUCCGGAGUUCAACCCUCCGCGGGGGUA